Molecule: non-coding RNA, 483 nt
Organism: Monodelphis domestica (gray short-tailed opossum)
Lineage: Eukaryota; Metazoa; Chordata; Mammalia; Didelphimorphia; Didelphidae
Source: RefSeq, a predicted model, not a curated record
UAAGAGGGCCUCCUGGUCUCCUAUUAAAUUAAAGAAAUUAAAGAAUUCCUUUUUAACAGAGGACAGGGAUUGUUUCAAUUUUGGUUUUAUAUCUUUAGUGUCUAACUCAGGACCUUGUGCUUGGUUUGUCCCAGAUCAUCUGUGGUCAAAUUUGAACCCAGGACCUCUUGUCUCCAGACCUGGCUUUCUAUCCACUCAGCCACCUACCUGCCCAGCCCGGUCUGCACCCUGAUUUGUUAUUCUUUUUCUAGAAAAAGCUAAACUGGGGUGAAUAUGGUCAUUUCUAUUUGCACUAUUCAGAUACCAGCUAAAACGGGAAAAACCAUGAGUUGGAAAUGGUUUUGUAAAUUGUUUCUAACAGUCAAGUUCAUCCCAAUAGUUGUUCUUUAGGGUUAAUGUAAAUCUGCAAUGUUCUGCUUUAGUUCUAAAUACUGUACAUAAAGUCUGGAAACUGCAAUAAAUGUGAUUUUAAUAACUCAAAAA